RNAcentral lists this long non-coding RNA (341 nucleotides) under Medicago truncatula (barrel medic). RNAcentral describes it as "long non-coding RNA (MTRU_LNC000992)". The record is from RNAcentral. Lineage: Eukaryota; Viridiplantae; Streptophyta; Magnoliopsida; Fabales; Fabaceae.
UUAAGUAUGAGCAAAGUCUUACUUACAUUGGAUGAAAAAUAGAUGUUGAGCACAAUAAAAGUGAGGAGACUAAUGCCUUAUGGACUCGUAUAGAUGACCAUACCACAUGAACUUUAUUAUACAUUGACUAUUCAACAUAUCCAGCUCAACUUGAGUGUUCAGGUCACGAAAGCUCCACCCUUCAACAUGUCCAACUCAGCUAUACCCUUCAACAUGUCCAGCUCAGCUCGUCCCUUCAACAUGCUUAGCUUAGCUCGUCCCUUCACCAUGCUCAGCUCAGCUCUUCCCUUCAGCAUGUAGAGCUCAGCUCAGCUCGUCCCUUCAGCAUGCUCAACUCAGCU